AUAGCCGCCCCAUAGCUGCCCCAUAGCCACCCCAUAGCUGCCCCAUAGCUGCCCCAUAGCUGCCACACAGCCGCCCCAUAGCUGCCCCAUGGCGACCCCAUAGCUGCCCCAUGAAUGUCCUAGAGCUGCCCCAUAGCUGCUCCAUAACUGCCGCAUAGCUGCUCCAUAGCUGCCCCAUAGCCUCCCCAUAGCUGCCCCAUAGAUACCCCAUAGCCACCCCACAGCUGCCCCAUAGCCACCCCAUAGCUGCCCCAUAGCCGCCCCAUAGCUGCCCCACAGCUGCCCCAUAGCCGCCCCAUAGCCGCCCCAUGAAUGUCCUAUAGCUGUCCCAUAGCUGCUCCAUAACUGCCCCAUAGCCGCCCCACAGCCGCCCCACAACCACCCCACAACCACCCCACAGCCACCCCAUAACCACCCCACAGCCACCCCACAGCCACUCCAUUCCCAACCACCCCAUUCCCACCCCACAACCACCCCAUUCCCACCGCAUUCCCACCCCACCACCACCCCACAACCAUCCCACAGCCACCCCAUUCCCACCCCAUAACCACCCCACAACCACCCCAUUCCCACCCCAUAACCACCCCACUCCCCCCCCCUCCCGCCCCCCUCCUGCCCCACAGACCUUCAUAGACGGCGAAGAAGCCCUUCCCCACCCAGUUGCUGCUGCUGCGGAACUCGACCCACAGGCGGCUGUCGCUGGACACGAUGGGCUCGGGCAGCUUGUUGCCGCAGAACCGGCCUGCGCCACGACCGCGCUAUGGGGCGGCUGUGGGGCGGCUGUGGGGCAGGGCUAUGGGGCGGGGCUAUGGGGCGGCUAUGGGGCGGCUAUGGGGCAGCUAUGGGGCGGCUAUGGGGCAGCUAUGGGGCAGCUGUGGGGCACAACAUGCAUGGGGAGCAGGAUGCGCGAUGGGGAGGGGGCUGGGAUUGGGGUGGGCACUGGGACGUGGGGCCCCACUGGGAUUUGGGGUCCCACUGUUGCAUGGGGUCCCACUGGGGUUUGGGGUCCCACGGGUCUGGGGUCCCACGGGUUUGGGGUCCCACAGGUCUGGGGUCGCACUGUUACAUGGGGUCCCACAGGUNNNNNNNNNNNNNNNNNNNNNNNNNNNNNNNNNNNNNNNNNNNNNNNNNNNNNNNNNNNNNNACUGGGGUUUGGGGUCCCACUGUUACAUGGGGUCCCACGGGUUUGGGGUCCCACGGGUCUGGGGUCCCACUGUUACAUGGGGUCCCAUUGGGGUUUGGGGUCCCACUGGGGUUUGGGGUCCCACGGGUUUGGGGUCCCACGGGUUUGGGGUGGCGCUGUGGCACCUCUGAGCGCCGCCUUCCUCCAGAAGCCGUCGCGCACCUCCACGUAGUCGUACCAGCACAGCCGGCUGCGGUACACGUCCAGCACCGAGAAGUUCAGCUGGAUCUGCGGGCAGCGGCGUC
This 1428-nucleotide long non-coding RNA is filed under the name Phasianus colchicus (ring-necked pheasant). Its description in RNAcentral is "lncRNA (ENSPCLG00000016719.1)". Lineage: Eukaryota; Metazoa; Chordata; Aves; Galliformes; Phasianidae. The record is from RNAcentral.